UUAUUAUUUAUUAUUUAUAGAACUAACUUUURUUUUAGUACAUUUUAUGGAAUUAAUUAAUUUUAUUUAUAGUUUAUUUUACUGUGAAGGUUUAUUAAUUUUUAAUUUAAAAGUAGAAUUUAUUGUUUGUACCUUUUGUAUCAGGGUCUAUCAAUAUAUAUAAUUUAUCCAAUUCUUAUCCCGAAUUUAUAAGAGAUAUUAUUAAAUUGUUUUUUAAUGUUUCAUAAUUAUAUAAAAAUUAAUAAUAGGUGUUAUAUGCUAUUCAUUUAUAAAUAUCUGGUUUCUUAAUAAUUGAAUUUAAUUCAGGAUAAACUAAAYUCCAAUUGACUUUUAUUAUAAAUGAUUUUUGGUUUAUCUAACAUUUUAGGGGAUAAGCUCUUUAAUGCUUUUAUGACUAUUAAAUUUUAUAUUAAAUUUGUAGGAUUAGAAAUUUCCAUCAUUUAUUUUGUUAUAAUUAUUUUUGUGUUUGUUUUUAUUUAUUAUYAGUCUAAAUUUUUAUUAAGAAUUAAAGUUUAAUUUUGAAUCUUUAGAUAUAAUGUUAGAAUUAGUAGUAUUUUUAAUUAAUGUAUAGUAACUCGGCAAUUUUUAUUCUCCACCUGUUUAACAAAAACAUGUCUUAAUGCUUUAUUUUAUAUUAAGUCUAACCUGCUCAAUGAUUAUUUAAUUAAAUAGCCGCAGUAUUUUGACUGUGCGAAGGUAGCAUAAUCAUUUGUCUUUUAAUUGAAGGCUUGUAUGAAGGGUUGGAUGAGGGAUUGACUUUCUUUACRUUAUUUUUGUGAAUUUAAUUUUURGGUUAAAAAGCUUAAAUUUAUAAAUGGGACGAGAAGACCCUAUAGAAUUUUAUUUAURUUYGRAUAAUUUAUUUUAUUGGUUAUUUUAUUAUUUAUUUGGAUAUAUAUUUUGUUGGGGUGAUGGUAAGAUUUUUUUAACUCUUAYAAUUUAUUUUAUUAUUUAUUUUUAUAUUUAAGAUCCUAUUUUAUGGAUAAAUAGAUUAAAUUACCUUAGGGAUAACAGCGUAAUUUCUCUGGAGAGUUCUYAUCGAUAGAGAAGUUUGCGACCUCGAUGUUGGAUUAAAAUAAGAUUUAAGUGCAGAAGCUUAAUUUCUAGGUCUGUUCGACCUUUAAAUUUUUACAUGAUCUGAGUUCAGACCGGCGUGAGCCAGGUCGGUUUCUAUCUUUUUAUAUAUGAUUGUAUUUUAGUACGAAAGGACCAUUUACAGCAAAUAUUUUGUUUGUUAUUGAUUAAUAUU
Molecule: ribosomal RNA, 1249 nt
Filed under: Dichelops melacanthus
Lineage: Eukaryota; Metazoa; Arthropoda; Insecta; Hemiptera; Pentatomidae
Description: 16S ribosomal RNA
Source: RNAcentral